GACGAACGCUGGCGGCGUGCUUAACACAUGCAAGUCGAACGGAAAGGCCUCUUUCGGGGGGUACUCGAGUGGCGAACGGGUGAGUAACACGUGAGUAACCUGCCCCUGACUUUUGGAUAACUUCACGAAACUGGGGCUAAUACCGCAUAUGAGCUCCUGCUGCAUGUUGGGGGUUGGAAAGUUUCGGGGGUUGGGGAUGGACUCGCGGCUUAUCACCUUGUUUGUGGGGUAGUGGCUUACCAAGGCUUUGACGGGUAGGCGGCCCGAGAGGGUGACCCGCCCAAUUGGGGCUGGGAUACGGGCCAGACUCCUACGGGAGGCAACAGUGGGGAAUAUUGCAAAAUGGGUGGAAGCCUGAUGCAGCAACGCCGUGGGGGGGAUGAAGGCCUUCGGGUUGUAAACCGCUUUCGCUCAUGACGAAGCUUUGUGUGACGGUAGUGGGUAAAGAAGCACCGGCUAACUACGUG
This 467-nucleotide ribosomal RNA is filed under the name uncultured bacterium. RNAcentral's name for it is "partial 16S ribosomal RNA". It matches the Rfam family "Bacterial small subunit ribosomal RNA", at positions 28 to 507 of the family's 1533-position model. The record is from RNAcentral.